GCGAGCGUAGUUCAAUGGUAGAACAAUGGCCUUCCAAGCCAUAUAUGUGGGUUCGAUUCCCAUCGCUCGCU
Molecule: transfer RNA, 71 nt
Filed under: Candidatus Omnitrophota bacterium
Lineage: Bacteria; Pseudomonadati; Candidatus Omnitrophota
Also listed under: 1 other name
Description: Candidatus Omnitrophica bacterium tRNA-Gly
Rfam family: tRNA
About the family: Transfer RNA (tRNA) molecules are approximately 80 nucleotides in length.
Source: RNAcentral